GACGAACCGUGCGAACGUUGUUCGGAAUCACUGGGCUUAAAGGGCGCGUAGGCGGGUUCGAUAGUCUGUGGUGAAAUCCUCCAGCUUAACUGGAGAGGUGCCGUGGAUACUGCGAACCUGGAGGAGGGUAGGGGCAUCUGGAACGCUGGGUGGAGCGGUGAAAUGCGUUGAUAUCCAGCGGAACUCCGGUGGCGAAGGCGAGGUGCUGGACCCUUUCUGACGCUGAGUGCGCGAAAGCCAGGGGAGCAAACGGG
RNAcentral lists this ribosomal RNA (254 nucleotides) under uncultured bacterium. RNAcentral describes it as "partial 16S ribosomal RNA". It matches the Rfam family "Bacterial small subunit ribosomal RNA", at positions 524 to 776 of the family's 1533-position model. The record is from RNAcentral.